Molecule: ribosomal RNA, 253 nt
Filed under: uncultured bacterium
Lineage: Bacteria
Description: partial 16S ribosomal RNA
Rfam family: Bacterial small subunit ribosomal RNA
Source: RNAcentral
UACAGAGGUCUCGAGCGUUGUUCGGAUUCAUUGGGCGUAAAGGGUGCGUAGGUGGCUAGGUAAGUCGGAUGUGAAAUCCCGGGGCUCAACCCCGGAACUGCAUUCGAUACUGCCUGGCUAGAGUACUGGGGAGGAGAUUGGAAUUUACGGUGUAGCAGUGAAAUGCGUAGAUAUCGUAAGGAAGACCAGUGGCGAAGGCGGAUCUCUGGACAGUUACUGACACUGAGGCACGAAGGCCAGGGGAGCAAACGGG